UACAGAGGUCCCGAGCGUUGUUCGGAUUCACUGGGCGUAAAGGGUGCGUAGGCGGUCGGGUAAGUCUGAUGUGAAAUCUCACAGCUUAACUGUGAAACUGCAUUGGAUACUAUUCGGCUUGAGAGUUGGAGGGGGGACUGGAAUUCUUGGUGUAGCAGUGAAAUGCGUAGAUAUCAAGAGGACCACCAGUGGCGAAGGCGAGUCCCUGGACAACUUCUGACGCUGAGGCACGAAAGCUAGGGGAGCAAACAGG
This 253-nucleotide ribosomal RNA is filed under the name uncultured bacterium. RNAcentral's name for it is "partial 16S ribosomal RNA". It matches the Rfam family "Bacterial small subunit ribosomal RNA", at positions 524 to 776 of the family's 1533-position model. The record is from RNAcentral.